AGAGUUUGAUCAUGGCUCAGGAUGAACGCUAGCUACAGGCUUAACACAUGCAAGUCGAGGGGCAUCAGUUUGGUUUGCUUGCAAACCAAAGCUGGCGACCGGCGCACGGGUGAGUAACACGUAUCCAACCUGCCUCAUACUCGGGGAUAGCCUUUCGAAAGAAAGAUUAAUAUCCGAUAGCAUAUAUUUCCCGCAUGGGUUUUAUAUUAAAGAAAUUCGGUAUGAGAUGGGGAUGCGUUCCAUUAGUUUGUUGGCGGGGUAACGGCCCACCAAGACUACGAUGGAUAGGGGUUCUGGAGAGGAAGGUCCCCACGAUUGGAACUGAGACACGGUCCAAACUCCUACGGGAGGCGA
This 354-nucleotide ribosomal RNA is filed under the name uncultured bacterium. RNAcentral's name for it is "bacterial SSU rRNA". It matches the Rfam family "Bacterial small subunit ribosomal RNA", at positions 8 to 351 of the family's 1533-position model. The record is from RNAcentral.